AUGUCUUCAAUUGUGGAAACUCGUCUAGAACCAAACUCACUUCUCAUGUAUGAUAGCCGCGCCAAGACAGCCUUCUUGAAAGCACUUGGAUUUCCAAUUCCUUGAAUUUGAACAUCAUCACUUGCUGGCCUUCUCACACCAACAUUCUCAAUUCUCAAAGAGUAGACACCAAACAGAGACUGCAAAUACCCUUGCUCAAUUAUGACGUCUGCAACUGAAGGUAAUAAAACAUGCUUCUCUUU
Molecule: unclassified non-coding RNA, 242 nt
Filed under: Hevea brasiliensis (rubber tree)
Lineage: Eukaryota; Viridiplantae; Streptophyta; Magnoliopsida; Malpighiales; Euphorbiaceae
Source: RNAcentral